This 67-nucleotide transfer RNA is filed under the name Xyloredo sp. E89. RNAcentral's name for it is "tRNA-Ser". Lineage: Eukaryota; Metazoa; Mollusca; Bivalvia; Myida; Pholadidae. The record is from RNAcentral.
GAGGAUUAUAGGUUUGUGAGGGGAUUUCUAAUCCCUUAAUGGGCGGUUCGAUUCUGCUCAGUCUUUA